RNAcentral lists this ribosomal RNA (459 nucleotides) under uncultured bacterium. RNAcentral's name for it is "partial 16S ribosomal RNA". It matches the Rfam family "Bacterial small subunit ribosomal RNA", at positions 338 to 795 of the family's 1533-position model. The record is from RNAcentral.
CCUACGGGAGGCUGCAGUGAGGAAUAUUGGGCAAUGGGCGCGAGCCUGAACCAGCCAAGUCGCGUGAGGGAAGACGGUCCUAUGGAUUGUAAACCUCUUUUGUCGGGGAGCAAAAGACGCCACGCGUGGCGUUCCGAGAGUACCCGAAGAAAAAGCAUCGGCUAACACCGUGCCAGCAGCCGCGGUAAUUCGGAGGAUGCGGGCGUUAUCCGGGUUUAGUGGGGGUAAGGGGUGCUCAGGCGGAAGGUCAAGUCAGCGGUAAAAUUGAGGGGCUUAACCUGUUCGAGCCGUUGAAACUGGUUUUCUUGAGUGAGCGAGAAGUAUGCGGAAUGCGUGGUGUAGCGGUGAAAUGCAUAGAUAUCACGAAGAACUCCAGUGGCGAAGGCGGCAGUCUGGCUAGAAACUGACGCUGAGGUGCGAAAGCGUGGGUAGCAAACAGGAUUAGAUACCCGUGUAGUC